UGGAAUGAAUUUAAUUCUCACAUUCACUUCUAAGAAUCCCAUGUUUCUUUCAAGAAUCAAUUCACAUUCCACCUUCUGUGGAAAGCCUUACCUGAUUUUUCCUAUUGUGCUUUUUCCCCUCUCCAAUCACACCAUAAUUAUUUAUUUGUAUUUUGUAUUCCCCAAUAACAUUUUGGUUCUUUGUGAGUUCACUCUUUGAUGGUGGGUACUGUUGUCUUUUUUAUCUGUGAAUAUCCAGCCUUUAACACAAAUCCUUACACGUGGGGGGACGCAGAGUCAAGAUGGCAACUUAGAGAAAGCAAAAGAUCAGACCUCUGCAAACCCUUCCUCACCUAUCAAAAACACAAUGCUUUGAGGGGACUGAAAACCAAAUCUAACAACAUGACUGACCUACAGAACCCUCCUACAGGACCCAACUUAAAAGAAACACCCCAAAUAAGCCUGAAUUCUAGAACACAUGGGUUUAAGGGGAAGGAAGAAGGAAGGUCACAGGACCCCUCCCCCACCUACAGUGCUGAGCCCCCAGUGGUGGCUGGAAUCCCUAGGCAGGCAAGGGUUCUAGUACAGAGGCAGUACCUUGCUGGCACAGCUGUGCCAGUCUCAGGGCAUUGAAUAAAGGAGGCAUAGAAACAAGUGGAGGAGAAGCCCAGUGCAGAUAGCCAAGUCACAGGCAAAAUACUUCAUCUUACCCCCCACACUUUCUUGAGGUUUUGGCCUCAGAGCAUAUCCAGCUUUGCAGAUCAACCCCAUCAUGGCUCAAUCUUAACAAUAGGGCACAUAAGAAGCCUUCAGAGAGCAGGGAAGCUCAAGUUCCAAAACCGCUACCCCACAGACUGAUCUGAGAGCCUUGCUGUCUAAGCUACAAGGGCAAAGGCUACAACAAACUACAAGCAACAAUCUUGAUAACAAGGCAGGAAGGCCAGCUCCUUUUCAGCUUCUGCUGUCAGCUGGGGAAGAUUUGACAAACUUGAACAAUCUGCAGAACCAAGAAGAAGCCCCUUCAGGACAAAAUAGCUCAAACCCACUAAUCAAGCACAUAAGGAGAAGAGCAAGACUGCAGGUAACUAUGGGGCAGGGGAGGAGAAGGGGAAAAUGAGUUAACAACAGAAAAAGAAAAAAUAAAUUACAGUUGACAGCUUCUAUCCA
This 1146-nucleotide long non-coding RNA is filed under the name Monodelphis domestica (gray short-tailed opossum). RNAcentral's name for it is "lncRNA (ENSMODG00000037016.1)". The record is from RNAcentral. Lineage: Eukaryota; Metazoa; Chordata; Mammalia; Didelphimorphia; Didelphidae.